AUAGAGUGAGUAUAGAGUGGACCAAUGGAAGGAAUCUGAACAAAGGAAUACCCCCAACAGUGAUGUUCAAGACCCCACCGAAGAAAUUGCUGAUGGGGCACACCUCCCUAGACGCAGCUGGUGUGCCCUUAAUAGGGCAAGAUCAGGAGUAUGUAGGACAGGUGAUAAUAUGGUCAGAUGGGGCCUGGGGACGGAUCAGUCAUGUGAGUGUGGCGAGGGCGCCCAGACCAUUGAGCAUAUCCUCCGAGCGUGCCCCUUAUCAUGCAGCCUGAACAACGCUGAUUUGCUGAAUGUGAAUCAGAACACCCUAGAAUGGUUGGCUGUUUGGUGUGACAAGCUAUGAUGAUGACUGAAAGACAAAAGCAUGCAUUUUCUUGAACGACUCGUAACAUGACUACGGCGCUGUUGUAGACUCUACUUACGAGCCGACAGCGUCCACUUGAGUGCCGAAGCCAUGGAGAGAUGCUCGUGAAUGACGAUUCGGCACAAACCUGGAGUUCAUCUAAAGAGGUUUGAUGACGUUGACACUGUCGGGAGCUUUAUUUGACUUGCAUCUAAAAGCCAGUUGUCCAUUUGGAGACACGCGACUCUUGCGCCCGCGGGGUGUUUCCCCUCAACAGUCACUUUGGAGUUUGGGGCAAAAUUGGCCGUCCUCUACACAGUUCUACAAGAGAAGCGGGGAAGAAAGAUCCAUUCAAACAUCACUGAUGACUGUUGAUUGAAGCUGACAGCGAUAAAAACCAAACAAAGCAAGACAGCGCUGCAGCCCGUCAAUGUCCACCCUGCAGCAGUAUGGCCCGCUGUCGCUCCGCCUCACAUCAGCGAUGUCCAAGUCCAUUUGUCCUUCCAGGAUGUCUCCCGUCAGCCGGUAGCGCUCAUCCGCCUGCGGCGGGGUCACAAGCGCUUUGACGAUACCGCCGGGCUCCAUGUAAAAGUGCCUCAGGCCUUCACC
This is a long non-coding RNA of Syngnathus acus (greater pipefish), 952 nucleotides long. RefSeq lists it as uncharacterized. The record is from RefSeq and is a predicted model, not a curated record. NCBI's taxonomy places the organism in Eukaryota, Metazoa, Chordata, Actinopteri, Syngnathiformes, Syngnathidae. The transcript is spliced from 3 exons.